CAGUCGCCGCGGUAAAACGGAGGGAGCUAGCGUUGUUCGGAAUUACUGGGCGUAAAGCGCGCGUAGGCGGUUACUCAAGUCAGAGGUGAAAGCCCGGGGCUCAACCCCGGAACUGCCUUUGAAACUAGGUGACUAGAAUCUUGGAGAGGUCAGUGGAAUUCCGAGUGUAGAGGUGAAAUUCGUAGAUAUUCGGAAGAACACCAGUGGCGAAGGCGGCUCACUGGACGACUGUUGACGCUGAGGUGCGAAAGCGUGGGGAGCAAACAGGAUUAGAUACCCCGGUAGUCCCUGUCUCUUAUAA
RNAcentral lists this ribosomal RNA (301 nucleotides) under uncultured bacterium. RNAcentral describes it as "partial 16S ribosomal RNA". It matches the Rfam family "Bacterial small subunit ribosomal RNA", at positions 509 to 809 of the family's 1533-position model. The record is from RNAcentral.